This 468-nucleotide ribosomal RNA is filed under the name uncultured bacterium. RNAcentral's name for it is "partial 16S ribosomal RNA". It matches the Rfam family "Bacterial small subunit ribosomal RNA", at positions 28 to 507 of the family's 1533-position model. The record is from RNAcentral.
GACGAACGCUGGCGGCGUGCUUAACACAUGCAAGUCGAACGGAAAGGCCCUGCUUUUGUGGGGUGCUCGAGUGGCGAACGGGUGAGUAACACGUGAGUGACCUGCCCUUGACUUUGGGAUAACUUCAGGAAACUGGGGCUAAUACCGGAUAGGAGCUCCUGCUGCAUGGUGGGGGUUGGAAAGUUUCGGCGGUUGGGGUUGGCUCGGCGGCUUAUAGGCUUGUUGGUGGGGUAGUGGCUUACCAAGGCGUUGAGGGGUAGCCGGCCGGAGGGGGGGACCGGCCACAUUGGGACGGGGAAACGGCCCAGACUCCUAGGGGGGGCAGCGUUGGGGAAUAUUGCACAAGGGGCGGAAGCCGAAUGCAGCAACGCCGGGUGCGGGAGGACGGCCUUCGGUUGUUAAACCGUUUUCGCCUGUGACGAAGCGUUAGUGACGGUAAUUGGUAAAGAAGCACCGGCUAACUACGUG